RNAcentral lists this unclassified non-coding RNA (372 nucleotides) under Hevea brasiliensis (rubber tree). Lineage: Eukaryota; Viridiplantae; Streptophyta; Magnoliopsida; Malpighiales; Euphorbiaceae. The record is from RNAcentral.
AGAAGCAUGUCCCUGGUUGUAUAAGUUACAUGAAGUAUGAAAUUCUUUUAAGCAUGAUCUGCUUCCAAUUGCGAAAUCAGAAAUAUAUGUACAUCUUCUUGGUUAUCCGAUUAUAUCUUUUGGUAUAUUCGUUGGUAUGGUUGGCGACCUUCAGGAAAGGGACUCCCAAAGGGCAUAAAACACUAUGAAUGCUUGCUGUCCAGUUGCUCUCUCUCUCAUUUCCAUUCUUUUUGAAAGUUGACAAGUUUCUCGCUUUGUUCUUUCAUCUCGGCUAUGUAAUUACAAGGAUUGAACUAUAUAUUGGAUUCACCAGCUUAAUACAUGCUAAGUGUGUUUACACAAUGCAGUUCGAUACCAACACAGUAAUUCAAU